RNAcentral lists this ribosomal RNA (253 nucleotides) under uncultured bacterium. RNAcentral describes it as "partial 16S ribosomal RNA". It matches the Rfam family "Bacterial small subunit ribosomal RNA", at positions 524 to 776 of the family's 1533-position model. The record is from RNAcentral.
UACGAAGGGGGCUAGCGUUGCUCGGAAUCACUGGGCGUAAAGCGCACGUAGGCGGAUUGUUAAGUCAGGGGUGAAAUCCUGGAGCUCAACUCUGGAACUGCCUUCGAAACUAGAGGACUUGGGUACGGGAGAGGUGAGUGGAAUUCCGAGUGUAGAGGUGAAAUUCGUAGAUAUUCGGAAGAACACCAGUGGCGAAGGCGGCUCACUGGCCCGUUACCGACGCUCAGGCGCGACAGCGUGGGGAGCAAACAGG